CAAUGCUAUGAUGGUGACGAGAAAUCGGGAGUAUGUGAGGAAUUAAACUACUGGAACACUGUAGAGCCUGACCUACUUCAUAUGUUAAAAAGCACCUUAAUAAGCUAUCUAUCCCAAAGAAAUCUGGCCUAAUUGCAGUACACCCUCAUUGAUGAUAGAUUUUUGGAGCACAGACCUUUGGAAAAUCUGUCACUAAUCUUGAAAGAAGAUUCUUUCCUGAAGUUACUCCUCUUUGAAGUAGCGCUGCAUUUUCCCUUGAAAGGAGAAGAAUGACGUACAACCAAAAAGAUAUGCAAAAUUAUAAAUAACUCCAACUUCAUAUUUUAAUAUAGUGCCGCCAUGGAAACCUAAUGACUGGGCAGCUGUUCUUCUUCAUCUCAUAGUGAAACUUAAAGAUUCAAAGCUAUAUUACAAGUAUUUUAAUUGCGAUCUUUCGAUAGAAUCUUUAAAUAAAAGAACUGGGAUCUUGUUGGAAGGUGGAAGUCAACAGACUGAUGUUCACAAUCAUCUACAUCCACCUCUGUUUGAUAAUAGAAGUUUUGUUUUACAGUGAUUUUUCAAAAUAUUUUGUGUGCAAUGUAAUCAAAGGUUCUGAAGAAGAACUAAAUUUUUCUCUGUUGUUAAUAAACAAAAACCUCAUGAGAACAUCUCAGGAAACAAAAAAUUGUUAUGGCUGAAAAACUCUGAACCAGUGAUACUGAUGAACUCCCCUCUUCAUACAACAUUUUUAUUGUCUUGCUUUAAAUGUGAAUUUACAGUGGAAUUUUUGAGGUGGGGAGACCAUUGUCUAUUUGUCUCCAUUUCCAGCCUCGCUGCAAAACAAAAGUGUGUGAAAGGAAUCACAAGGCAGUCAUGCAGCAGCCAGAGUAUAUGUUGACAUCCUCACCAGCUGAGACUACUUCCAUCUUGCUGCUAAACAUGAGGCAAAGCCUCAUCACCCGGACCAAGGGGAACGUCUCUAACAGAGGACAUGACACAAGGAAGAGCUUAAACUUCCCUUUCCAUUGUCUCUUCCUGUUCAUACUGAAGAUUAGUUAUGAUCAGUGAAAUCAGUGAAUUAGAAAUCAUAAAAUGAGGUAACACAUGAUGAUGUAUGUGGUCAAUAAAACAUAAACUUUAUACUUGUUCCUGGUCAAAUAUCAGGCUGAAAGAAUAGGAUUUAGGCUACAAUUCAGACAGUCAUUUACUUGAGGAGAUUUAAGAUGCCGUAAUUCUUCAUGAGAAAUAAUUCUUGUCAGUAGCUGUGCUAAAUUAGCAUAAAAGCUUGUCUGUAGACAUGCUGUUUUCAACAAGAUUUUUUAGGGAUUGCAAGGGAGAAGGGUUUCCAUGUAUCAAGAAACAUACGUAUUAAGAAACGCAUGGAAAGCAGCAGAAGUGCCUCUUGUGGUUAAGACUUCCCAUAGUCAUAGACCAAGUCUGAUUGUAUGCCCGUCUGAAAGGCUUCUUAGAGAUCACUCCUGUUAUAAUCUCUUUCAGAGCAAAUAACUUGCCAUCCGAGCCAAGCUGCGUUUGUUUUCUUUCUUGUACGGCUGCCCUCCCUGGCAAGCCUUACGCUGAGGGUAGGCAGUUACGGUAUGUGUUCAACUUAUGGGAAGCAGGAUUAACGUUUUCCUCACCAGUAGUUUACGAAUUAUCAUAGGAUAAAAAGAAAGACUGUAUUCCACCCACCUCUCCGUUAUGAUGUUCAGAGAUCACUGCCAAAAGCCAAUACCCCGUGUUCUUAUAAAAACUCAGUGUUGUGUAGUAACACACUACCCACCUGGUAAACAAGAAGAUGCAGAUCAUUAAUAUCAAUAAUUAAUUGAAAUUUAUCUGAGUUCCUAUAGUGAUCCCAUAGCUCAGAUCAAUUGCAAAGACUGAGAUCAGCUGAGUUGGAACCCUGAAACUUUCACAAAUCUAACUAAGACUUGAGUUUUGGUUCUAGCCAGUCUUUCUGCUACCACUCUCUUCUCCACACUAUCAUAUACUCUGGUGGCAAAAUGUCAGUCCUUCUGCUUGUGUUUUGAACCAAAGUUAAGUGGUGGUUCUAGCUUUCUCCUGCAGGCAUGAUACCAAGUAAGAUAAGAAAUAUACCACUAAGAACCAAAAUAAAAUUUUCUAUUCCAUUCAGUUUCUAUUCCAGCUCUAUCAUUUCUCCUCGUGGAAUUGCACAAAUGACCAGGGUUGUAAUAAAUGUUUUAUUUACAUCUGCGACUUGCAAAUCUUGUACAUACUAGCAUUUUCCAAAAACGUACAUAAUCUAUGUUGCUUAUUUGCAUAAUUGUAGCGUUUUACAGCAUACAAACUGCUUAACUAUAUUUUAAUGAAAGUAUUUAACUGAAUGGCUUUGAGACUUUUUUGUAAUUAUGCCUGAACUUAAGAUAAUAUUGAAACUUGAUAAUUAUAAGAGUAUUGCAAGCCAGCAGAGAAUCUCAGUUACAGUACAAAAUAUGAGCUUCUUAAACUCAUCUGUAUCCUUCUGCUUAAUUUUCACUUAUAUUACGACACUUUUCUCUUUACAGGAAGUUAUCACUGUUUUCUUUCAGAUAUAAAGCUUUGGUCCUUAGAGAAAUUAAGAUAAAACUCAGUCAUUAGGCUUUGGUUAGUGUCUAGAUUUUAUGUAAAAUAUGUUAAUAAAUGGUGUAAGAAAAAAAUCCUCAGAAGUUAAAACAUGCAUGAAAUUAAUAUAAAACUUUCUCUGAGUCUGGUAUUGAUAAUUACAUCACACAUUUGCUUUAAUACCGCACAUGAAAAAUUUUUUCCAGGUCUUUUUUUCUCCUAUUAAUUUCCUGCAUGUGUUAAGUCCAGUUCUUCAGCCAGUAAGCAGACUAGUCAGCUUUCCUGAAAUGGGGCCACAGGAAUGAGCUUCAUGUCAUCUCUUCGCGUUCCAUCUGCAAGCCUUCUCCCUAUGUUUUUGGAAAAGAUUACAUAUUUACCACCUCUCUAAAUUAUUCUAAUACAUUAAAAUAUCUUGCUAUUUGUGCAUAAAGUGUGAUUAACAGUAGAGAUUUGAAGGAGUGAAUUGGCACAAUAAAGACUAUUUAUUUGUUCUGCUGAAUAUUAAAAGGGACAUGUGUUAGGAAGAAGAGGAAUAAUGAAAAGAUACUUUGACAAAGGCCUACGUAACUUCUGUCAGCCCAGCUACUCCUUGGUACAUCAGUGCUAUUAUCUUGCUUAUCAUUAAACAAAAUGCUUCAGCACUCUGAGAACUACUGUUCUAUAAAGAAACAAAACAAGCCCUUUCUGUUUAUUUCUAAGUGCAAGAGAUUACAGAAUUUUUUCCUCUUUGCCAACAGCUGUGUUCUUCACAGGAUUUCUUUUUUCCUGCAUCCAUUCCUGGAAAUACUGA
Molecule: long non-coding RNA, 3328 nt
Organism: Cuculus canorus (common cuckoo)
Lineage: Eukaryota; Metazoa; Chordata; Aves; Cuculiformes; Cuculidae
Exons: 3
Source: RefSeq, a predicted model, not a curated record